Molecule: long non-coding RNA, 256 nt
Organism: Dryobates pubescens (Downy woodpecker)
Lineage: Eukaryota; Metazoa; Chordata; Aves; Piciformes; Picidae
Exons: 3
Source: RefSeq, a predicted model, not a curated record
CCAGUCUGUUCCACCACUUCCUCGACUCCUACCAAGUGAUGUUCUUCACACUCUUUGCACUGGUAGCAGGGGCAUCCGUGCUGGUGAUAGCCUAUCACGUAGCUUUUGUGCAGAGGGAACAGCAGAGUCAUCCAGUGUAUGUCCUAAGGACACCUCCUCAGCACAGCCACAACAGUUUCUCUACAUCCCCUGGGCCUGCAGCGUAUCACUUCAGCCAUCAGCCCUCCAGCAGGAGCAGAAGUCCCUCGUCCGCGCU